AUCACUGAGCUGACCAGUCUUUCCUUGAUUUCUUUGCCGCUUUAUUCACACUCUUCCCAGUACACGUCAUCACGUGUUUUACGUCAUCACGUAUGUAUGGAAAUUUCUGUGCUACCUGAAGUACACACACAGUUACGUAACUCUCGCGGGUAUAAGGAAAUGUUAAAGCGUGUUUUGACGAUGAGAAGUGUAUAGUUAAUGGCCGUCGGUGUAUGUGAAGUUGCAUGCUGGAUAUAUUAAAACCGUGUUCUUGGGAACCUACAGAUUUAUUUGUUUGAUGUCAGCAAAACAUCACAUGAUGUCAGAAGUGACGCGACUACAAGAACGCGAUUAAGAUGUCAAAGUUUAGUCCACCGGAGGAAUUCAAAUUCACGAGCCCAGGAGAAUGGCCGGAGUGGAAACAGAGAUUUUCGUGCUUUUUGGCGGCGACGAAGCUGAAUAAGGAGGACGGCGAGGUCCAGGUCAUUUCGCUCAUUUACACCAUGGGACGUGAAGCGGAGAAAAUAUUCAGCUCCUUCGAGUUUGAGGAAGAGGGACACAAAAAAGACUACGACGUCGUGCUAAGGAAGUUUGACGAUUACUUCAUUCCAAGACGGAACUUAAUACACGAAUGAGCCUGCUUUUAUCAGCGAAGUCAGCUGGCCGGGGAAAAGGCAGAAGCAUACAUCAGAGUUUUAUUCGAUUUGGCGGAGAACUGUGAGUUCGGCGACAAGCGAGACGAACACAUCCGGGAUAAACUAGUUGUUGGCAUUCGAGAUAAAGAAUUAUCUCAGAAGUUUCAGCUGACGGCAGACCUGACGCUAUCACAAGUCAUCCAGCAGGUGCGACAAGCUGAGGAGGUGGCAAUACAAAUUGGCCUCCAGUCCCAGCUACCGGACAUACAAGUGGCUCAUGUUGACGGCAGUCGGAGGGGGACGCAGCAAAAGGCACAGAAAAGAACACAAGGUGGCGCCACAGACCAGAAAAGGGACAAGAGCUGUGGCAGGUGUGGCACUCAGCAUCAGGAAAAAGGAAAAUGUCCUGCUUACAUAAGUACAUGUAGAAAGUGCAACAAAAUAGGACAUUGGGCACGACUGUGUCAUACGAAAGAAGUGAAUGAAGUCACUGAGAACACGGGACAGUUCCAGUUUUUGGGUGAGGUCAUCAAGGAGGCCAACUCAGACAAUUGGACUGUUACACUUGAAAUAGAGAAGAUGCCACUUUCAUUUAAAAUGGAUACAGGGGCUGAUGUGACUGUUAUAAAUGAGGUUACUUUCGUGAAGCUCCCCACAUCCCUGAAAUUAAAUAA
This is a long non-coding RNA of Syngnathus acus (greater pipefish), 1288 nucleotides long. RefSeq lists it as uncharacterized. NCBI's taxonomy places the organism in Eukaryota, Metazoa, Chordata, Actinopteri, Syngnathiformes, Syngnathidae. The transcript has 2 exons. The record is from RefSeq and is a predicted model, not a curated record.